UUCAUACUCCCACCGUCCAAAAUUAUUGUUUUAGGUUUACCUAAAAAUAAAUGUAUCUGAAUACUAAAAUAUAACUAGAUACAUUUAUAUCUAGACAAGUGUAAGACAAGAAUUUUAGAACGGAGGGAGUACAAA
Non-coding RNA from Hordeum vulgare subsp. vulgare (domesticated barley), 135 nucleotides. The record is from Rfam. NCBI's taxonomy places the organism in Eukaryota, Viridiplantae, Streptophyta, Magnoliopsida, Poales, Poaceae.